RNAcentral lists this transfer RNA (72 nucleotides) under Pleodorina starrii. RNAcentral's name for it is "tRNA-His". It matches the Rfam family "tRNA". From Rfam's summary of the family: Transfer RNA (tRNA) molecules are approximately 80 nucleotides in length. Their secondary structure includes four short double-helical elements and three loops (D, anti-codon, and T loops). The record is from RNAcentral. Lineage: Eukaryota; Viridiplantae; Chlorophyta; Chlorophyceae; Chlamydomonadales; Volvocaceae.
GUCCCUAUCGUAUAGUGGUUAGUACAUCACGUUGUGGCCGUGACGACCCCGGCUCGAAUCCGGGUAGGGACA